AGAGUUUGAUCAUGGCUCAGGAUGAACGCUGGCGGCGUGCUUAACACAUGCAAGUCGAACGGUGAAGGAGAGCUUGCUCUCCGGAUCAGUGGCGAACGGGUGAGUAACACGUGAGCAACCUGCCCCGGACUCCGGGAUAACAGUUGGAAACAGCUGCUAAUACCGGAUACGAGCUGCGAAGGCAUCUUCAGCAGCUGGAAAGAACUUCGGUCCGGGAUGGGCUCGCGGCCUAUCAGCUUGUUGGUGAGGUAACGGCUCACCAAGGCGUCGACGGGUAGCCGGCCUGAGAGGGUGACCGGCCACACUGGGACUGAGACACGGCCCAGACUCCUACGGGAGGCAGCAGUGGGGAAUAUUGCACAAUGGGCGCAAGCCUGAUGCAACAACGCCGCGUGAGGGACGACGGCCUUCGGGUUGUAAACCUCUUUUAGCAGGAAAGAAGCGAAAGUGACGGUACCUGCAGAAAAAGCGCCGGCUAACUACGUGCCAGCAGCCGCGGCAAUACGUAGGGCGCAAGCGUUAUCCGGAAUUAUUGGGCGUAAAGAGCUCGUAGGCGGUCUGUCGCGUCUGCUGUGAAAACCCGAGGCUCAACCUCGGGCCUGCAGUGGGUACGGGCAGACUAGAGUGCGGUAGGGGAGAUUGGAAUUCCUGGUGUAGCGGUGGAAUGCGCAGAUAUCAGGAGGAACACCGAUGGCGAAGGCAGAUCUCUGGGCCGUAACUGACGCUGAGGAGCGAAAGCGUGGGGAGCGAACAGGAUUAGAUACCCUGGUAGUCCAA
RNAcentral lists this ribosomal RNA (777 nucleotides) under uncultured bacterium. RNAcentral describes it as "bacterial SSU rRNA". It matches the Rfam family "Bacterial small subunit ribosomal RNA", at positions 8 to 798 of the family's 1533-position model. The record is from RNAcentral.